UUGUUUCUGUUUACAGAUUCAGUGAAGUGAGUUGCAUUCUUAAUACAUUAAUUACCAACCUCUGUAUAUAAAUAAGAACCUGCAACAAUCACCAUCACAGAUUUGAACAAACUGAUCACUACGUUUUCCAGAAGAAACCAAACAACUGCCGCCAUGUUGAAGUUCGUGCUGAUAUUGUGUCUUCUGGUUUCAGUUGCACCACUCGUCAAUGCUGUAUGCAGUCCUUCGUAUCGGGGUAUGUCCUGUUGUAACUCGAACUCGUGCCCAGCUGGUACCACGAAGGUUGGAUCAUGUUGGGAAGGGAGUGCCGCCUGCCAGGAUGAUAGCCGUUAACAACAAAACCGAAGAACGACAGCAGAUUCUGAUUACGAGAAGUUCCAUUUAAUUUCGUUACCUGGAUGAAAAAUUGCGACUGACUUUCAUUCCUGAACAAAUAUACAUUAUGAAGACCUGGUGUUAUCCUCACGUUAAUGAUUAUAAAGAAGCUGUCUGUUCUUCCUGAAUAAAUAAACUACUUCUCAAAUA
Gigantopelta aegis is the source of this 525-nucleotide long non-coding RNA. RefSeq lists it as uncharacterized. Lineage: Eukaryota; Metazoa; Mollusca; Gastropoda; Neomphalida; Peltospiridae. The transcript is spliced from 3 exons. The record is from RefSeq and is a predicted model, not a curated record.